RNAcentral lists this ribosomal RNA (800 nucleotides) under Brachybacterium sp. JSM 076082. RNAcentral describes it as "bacterial SSU rRNA". It matches the Rfam family "Bacterial small subunit ribosomal RNA", at positions 56 to 865 of the family's 1533-position model. The record is from RNAcentral. Lineage: Bacteria; Bacillati; Actinomycetota; Actinomycetes; Micrococcales; Dermabacteraceae.
UGCAAGUCGAACGAUGACGGUGGUGCUUGCACCGCCUGAUUAGUGGCGAACGGGUGAGUAACACGUGAGUAACCUGCCCUCCACUUCGGGAUAACCUCGGGAAAUCGUGGCUAAUACCGGAUAUGAGCACUCAUCGCAUGGUGGGUGUUGGAAAGAUUUAUCGGUGGGGGAUGGACUCGCGGCCUAUCAGUUUGUUGGUGAGGUGAUGGCUCACCAAGACGAUGACGGGUAGCCGGCCUGAGAGGGCGACCGGCCACACUGGGACUGAGACACGGCCCAGACUCCUACGGGAGGCAGCAGUGGGGAAUAUUGCACAAUGGGCGAAAGCCUGAUGCAGCGACGCCGCGUGGGGGAUGACGGCCUUCGGGUUGUAAACCCCUUUCAGUAGGGAAGAAGCGAGAGUGACGGUACCUGCAGAAGAAGCGCCGGCUAACUACGUGCCAGCAGCCGCGGUAAUACGUAGGGCGCAAGCGUUGUCCGGAAUUAUUGGGCGUAAAGAGCUUGUAGGUGGCUUGUCGCGUCUGCCGUGAAAACCCGAGGCUCAACCUCGGGCGUGCGGUGGGUACGGGCAGGCUAGAGUGUGGUAGGGGAGACUGGAACUCCUGGUGUAGCGGUGAAAUGCGCAGAUAUCAGGAAGAACACCGAUGGCGAAGGCAGGUCUCUGGGCCAUUACUGACACUGAGAAGCGAAAGCAUGGGUAGCGAACAGGAUUAGAUACCCUGGUAGUCCAUGCCGUAAACGUUGGGCACUAGGUGUGGGGGACAUUCCACGUUUUCCGCGCCGUAGCUAACGCAUUAAGU